AACGGUCUAUACCUGCGGUACCUGCGGAAGGAUCAUCAAUGAAUUUUCAAAUUCAUUUUUGGCUUUGGGAGUGCAGAUUCUUUCGGUAUUCCGCUGGAAGAGCUUGUUUUUCCUAUUGCCUUAUCAACCAUCAGUCUCUGUCUACUAACAAGGGUGUCUUGCAUGAUGUUUCAUACUUCAUGAGCAUCAAAUAUGUGCAAGCCCUUUGCGAUUGACUUUGACUUUUUGAGUAGUUCGAAU
This 240-nucleotide unclassified non-coding RNA is filed under the name soil metagenome. RNAcentral describes it as "partial contains 5.8S ribosomal RNA, internal transcribed spacer 2, and large subunit ribosomal RNA". The record is from RNAcentral.